RNAcentral lists this long non-coding RNA (1320 nucleotides) under Oreochromis niloticus (Nile tilapia). RNAcentral describes it as "lncRNA (ENSONIG00000037427.1)". Lineage: Eukaryota; Metazoa; Chordata; Actinopteri; Cichliformes; Cichlidae. The record is from RNAcentral.
CACGGCUGUUCACUGGUAAUGAUCGAAACAUGUACUGUCAGGAAUAGGGGGUUCAUGAGAUGUGGUUGCUGGUAGAUAGCAACUAUCAUAUAAACAUAAACCUGUGUGGUCUGGAGGUGGACACAUUGAGCACUGAAAGUUUUAUAUGUAAAACUUUAUAUUUAGCAAUGUAUUUUAAAAUAUAACACAUCAUUCUGUGUCAAUUACUACAAAAAUAGCCUUUUGAAAUCAGAUGACUUUUCUCAUACAUGCCAUACACUCCACCCUUACUCUUGGUACCCCAUUUGUAAAAAUCCUGGAAAAACCCUUGUACAUGUGCUAGCUUUUUGGCAUACAUAUUAAGUGUCCACGAGGACAUAAAAACUAUUUAAAAGUUUUCUAAUUCUUCAAACUUCCCUAAAGUUUUUUUUUUUCUACCAGCAUGUUUACCGUUUUCAUGUCACUUUUUUCAUAAUGCCCCGGGUUUCAUUAACUGGGAAAGGAAAAUAAAAAGGAAAAAGACGUAAAAAAAAGAAAAAAAAAAAAGCAGUUUUCUUAUUUUGCUCACCGUGACCGAAAGAGAAACAGCUAACCACACUCCCGGCAUCCAGUCGUUUCGCUACCGUGGGAUUUAAAGUAUUUUUCAUCGCUUUCGUCGGUACCCACCCUUGACCCUGACACCUGAAAGCGGUGGGAUGCACCCCGACACAUCCCACUGGUUUUUUGGAGACGACGGCCACGUGACCGAGGUAGCGGCAGCAUCCGCGCGCACACCGCCGCUGUUCGUUUGAUAGCAUCCACAGCGCCGGACGGAGAAGAGAGCGGGACAGAGAGAGAGAGAAAAAGAGAGGGAGAUAGGAAGAAACAGUCGUCGAGGGAAGACGAACAAAAUCUCCGUCUUGCUGACUCCUUCACCAGACACGGCGGGCACACCAUGGACGGCUAUGGCCGGACCGAAGAUGAGCUGUUCUCCUCCUGCCUCGUGAACCUCACCUGGGAGACGUGCUACGAGCAGCCGUGUUUCAGAUUGACCCCACCUCUCGCCCUAUGGUAGCUGGGCUCCAGCCCCGCACCCAUGACCCUGAUUAGGAUAGGCAGAAGAAAAUGGAUGGAUCCAUUUAUUGGAGUAAGAUUUGUGGCUGUUUGUGUUGAAAGUUACAAUUUUUCCUUGAUGAACUCUCCCAAAAAUGUAUUUCAGCCUUAUCUACAGAGUCUCCCUCGCUGUUAAAAUGAACGGUGGCAGACGGGGUUUCCAGGUCUUGCGGUGCAAUCGCACCUAAAAUGCAGGAACACUUCCCGUGCACACCUUUCCCUGUGUUGAACAAUCUCUUUCCACCUUUU